Molecule: transfer RNA, 85 nt
Filed under: Planctomycetaceae bacterium
Lineage: Bacteria; Pseudomonadati; Planctomycetota; Planctomycetia; Planctomycetales; Planctomycetaceae
Description: tRNA-Leu
Rfam family: tRNA
About the family: Transfer RNA (tRNA) molecules are approximately 80 nucleotides in length. Their secondary structure includes four short double-helical elements and three loops (D, anti-codon, and T loops).
Source: RNAcentral
GCGGGUGUGGCGGAAUUGGCAGACGCGCUAGAUUCAGGUUCUAGUGUCCAUUACGGACGUGGAGGUUCAAAUCCUCUCACCCGCA